Molecule: unclassified non-coding RNA, 223 nt
Filed under: plant metagenome
Description: partial contains small subunit ribosomal RNA, internal transcribed spacer 1, and 5.8S ribosomal RNA
Rfam family: Eukaryotic small subunit ribosomal RNA (bases 1-54)
Source: RNAcentral
GGAAGUAAAAGUCGUAACAUGGUCUCCGUUGGUGAACCAGCGGAGGGAUCAUUAUCGAGUUUAUAACUCCCAAACCCUAUGUGAACUUACCACUUGUUGCUUCGGCGCGCGCUUCGGCGCCGCCGAGGACACUUAAACUCUUUGUUUUUAUAAGCAUUUCUGAGUGGCCGAAAGGCAAAAUACAAAUGAAUCAAAACUUUCAACAACGGAUCUCUUGGUUCUG